Molecule: long non-coding RNA, 633 nt
Organism: Arabidopsis lyrata subsp. lyrata
Lineage: Eukaryota; Viridiplantae; Streptophyta; Magnoliopsida; Brassicales; Brassicaceae
Exons: 2
Source: RefSeq, a predicted model, not a curated record
UAUAGAAAAAAAAAUCAAGAAAAGAUAUAUAUAUUUUGUAAUGGCGGGAAAUUAUAAUUAUGGCAGUAAUGGUGGUUAUUCUCGGGAGUGGAUGUACAAGAGAUUUGAUGAAGUGACCAGGAAUUUGAUCGCUGAAUACGUAGCAAGGGUGGAGGAAUUCAUGACGUUUGCUAAUAGCUAGCCUAUCGUCCAGAGUAAUCGGGAAGGAAACCAGGCAACGGGUUCACAUUACUAGACCGAGAAAUUGAUGCGCAAUUUAGGUCUUCCGUAUCAUACAAUUGAUGUUUAUGUUAACAAUUGUAUGCUUUUCUGGAAAGAAGACGAAAAAGAAGAUCAAUGUCGAUUUUGUGGUUCACAUAGAUGGAAGCCUAAGGACGAUCGUCGAAGAACCAAAGUACCAUAUAGUCGUAUGUGGUAUCUACCUAUUGGUGACCGAUUGAAGAGAAUGUAUCAGAGCCACAAGACAGCAGCUGCAAUGCGAUGGCAUGCCGAGCACCAAUCAAAGGAGGGAGAAAUGAAUCAUCCUUCAGAUGCGGCGGAGUGGAGAUACUAUUUUGUAACAUUAGGUACUUAGUUAUGUAAUGUUAUUUUGAUUAUUAAGUUUUUGUUUAUUAAGUUAAUUUUGAUUGCAAA